This 1430-nucleotide long non-coding RNA is filed under the name Nicotiana benthamiana. Its description in RNAcentral is "long non-coding RNA (NBEN_LNC014955)". The record is from RNAcentral. Lineage: Eukaryota; Viridiplantae; Streptophyta; Magnoliopsida; Solanales; Solanaceae.
ACCAAUAUAUCCUGAAAGGUACAGUGGACGAUUAUGGUGAAGGUCCCCUAGCAACAAAAAAGUCUUCUCGAGAAAAUGUGAGGUCUGGCUCCUCCGCCUUCAUCUUCUCUUGUAUGCCUCGGUUCUCUUCUUGAGGUACAUCAUUCACCUCUAUCUGGUGUACAUGGGGUGCAUACUUAUCGGCUUCUGAUAGAGCCUUGACACUUGUCGGAUGUCAGGUGACAACCUCAACAAGGUAAUUCUAGCUGGUACAUUAGCUAGUUGUGCUAACAAAUCAUAAUCGAAAGGCUCAUCUAAGCCGGGCAAUGCUUUCUUCUUCACCCUAGAGUUUACAUUCUACCGUCUCGGGAAAUUUUCGGUGGUAAUCAAGCCCGGAGCGGGUUCUGUCUACAUCAUUUAGACUGACUAGGGUCGGUGUCUCUCUCUUCAGAAUCAGACUUUGAAGCCAAGAUGGAUAUGGCACACUUACCAUGUUAGAGGACUGUACAAGUGACAUAGGCAAGCAAUCUCCAAGUGUCAUAGGGGUUCUUGCAGUGCCCCCGGACUGAGGAACCGUACAAGACUUUUCGACCAAAGGACAAGUCUGUUCCUGCUUCGUUUUCGGUUCCCGAUUCAAUCUUCACCUUUCCUGAAUGAAGAAAGAGAGUGAAAGAGAAGAUAUCAGUGCAAUAGGUACAGAGGUACGAGAAACAGUCUUCGUUCGGUUCGGCAGAAGAAAGCCGAGAAAACAAAUAGGAAGAGCACUAUGCAAGCUUAUAAUUAAGCAAAUAUAUAAAAGCUAUCACCACCUCAAGCAGUAAAACAAAGUCGUUAUGGCUAUGUUACUAACAUAGACAACUAUGAAUGGUAUUCAUUGACAGGAGUGACCGCUUUCUAGUCGUAGUUGGUACCGCCCCUGUUCACUUCAGCAUGCAAGGAACACCUUCGGGAAGAAUCAAAGUUUUUCUCCUCUGCAAAGCUAUCAAUGCUUUAUUCAAGAUCUUUAGCAGUCGAUCGUUCAUUCUCCCUCCCCAGUGGCUUUCGAAAGCUCGACAUGAAAGAAUAAAGAAAAUAGGAAAAAAGAGUACGGGGAUAUUUAGCUAUUUAGCCUUAGAGAAAGGUGACUUGGUAAGACCAGAAUCUGGAACAGAGAUUGGAUGAAGAAUUGCUUUUUCUUUAGCGGGAAUGGCGCCACCUUUUUAUUUAGCAACUGCCGCCCCGCUUAAUAGGAAUAGGAUGCACUUACCGACCGGUGAAAGGAAAGAGCGGGGUCAGCCAUCGACAAAGGAAUACCGAACUCUACCCGUGUGAGGCCUCGUAGCCAGGGAGAACCAUAGAAUCGGAAGGUUAUAUUAGAACAUCGGUGGAAAGGUCGAGAGGGCACCUAAAAAUAGCUUUAGAAGCCAGAUUAGGAAAGUGUUUCCCGAGUUCGAGCAAAUGCAAUGCGNNNN